This 380-nucleotide long non-coding RNA is filed under the name Neodiprion lecontei (redheaded pine sawfly). RNAcentral's name for it is "uncharacterized LOC124292613". The record is from RNAcentral. Lineage: Eukaryota; Metazoa; Arthropoda; Insecta; Hymenoptera; Diprionidae.
GAUAGCUUUGGCGCGCGGUACAAAAUUUGAAUUGAAAAUAAUUUUCCGGCUUCUUAAUGUCGUGGUGAUUAUUUCUCAUGCGUUAUAUACGAGGUUUGCGGAACGGAUUAGAAAGAAGGCUAAUAAAAGCCGACAGAAGAUUGAACUAACUGACAAGGAAUGAAGUGGAAGUUGGCUUGCUGAAGUAAAGAAUAGACGCGUGUUUGCUGAGAGAUGGAACAGAAGUAUACUUGUUGAGAAAUCGAAUAAAAGUAGUAUGUUAAUGAUGAACAAAAAAAAUACAAAUAUGCCCAAAGCUGCCGUCCACUCUUCCGUAAGAAGGUAUUCAUGACCGCUAUCCUGUGUCUGCGAUAGGUUUCAAGUAAGGAAUUUGAUGUCGA